RNAcentral lists this ribosomal RNA (253 nucleotides) under uncultured bacterium. RNAcentral describes it as "partial 16S ribosomal RNA". It matches the Rfam family "Bacterial small subunit ribosomal RNA", at positions 524 to 776 of the family's 1533-position model. The record is from RNAcentral.
UACAGAGGUCCCAAGCGUUGUUCGGAUUCACUGGGCGUAAAGGGUGCGUAGGCGGUGGGGUAAGUCUGGUGUGAAAGCUCGGAGCUCAACUCCGAAAUGUCAUCGGAAACUACUUCACUAGAGGUUUGGAGGGGGGACUGGAAUUCUCGGUGUAGCAGUGAAAUGCGUAGAUAUCGAGAGGAACACCAGUGGCGAAGGCGAGUCCCUGGACAAAUCCUGACGCUGAGGCACGAAAGCUAGGGGAGCAAACAGG